GUUGGGUAGGGGAGCGUUCUGUAAGCCUGUGAAGGUGGCCCGUGAGGGUUGCUGGAGGUAUCAGAAGUGCGAAUGCUGACAUAAGUAACGAUAAAGCGGGUGAAAAGCCCGCUCGCCGGAAGACCAAGGGUUCCUGUCCAACGUUAAUCGGGGCAGGGUGAGUCGACCCCUAAGGCGAGGCCGAAAGGCGUAGUCGAUGGGAAACGGGUUAAUAUUCCCGUACUUGGUGUUACUGCGAAGGGGGGACGGAGAAGGCUAUGUUGGCCGGGCGACGGUUGUCCCGGUUUAAGCGUGUAGGCUGGUUUUCCAGGCAAAUCCGGAAAAUCAAGGCUGAGGCGUGACGACGAGGCACUACGGUGCUGAAGCAACAAAUGCCCUGCUUCCAGGAAAAGCCUCUAAGCAUCAGGUAACAUCAAAUCGUACCCCAAACCGACACAGGUGGUCAGGUAGAGAAUACCAAGGCGCUUGAGAGAACUCGGGUGAAGGAACUAGGCAAAAUGGUGCCGUAACUUCGGGAGAAGGCACGCUGACACGUAGGUGAAGUGAUUUACUCAUGGAGCUGAAGUCAGUCGAAGAUACCAGCUGGCUGCAACUGUUUAUUAAAAACACAGCACUGUGCAAACACGAAAGUGGACGUAUACGGUGUGACGCCUGCCCGGUGCCGGAAGGUUAAUUGAUGGGGUCAGCGCAAGCGAAGCUCCUGAUCGAAGCCCCGGUAAACGGCGGCCGUAACUAUAACGGUCCUAAGGUAGCGAAAUUCCUUGUCGGGUAAGUUCCGACCUGCACGAAUGGCGUAAUGAUGGCCAGGCUGUCUCCACCCGAGACUCAGUGAAAUUGAACUCGCUGUGAAGAUGCAGUGUACCCGCGGCAAGACGGAAAGACCCCGUGAACCUUUACUAUAGCUUGACACUGAACAUUGAGCCUUGAUGUGUAGGAUAGGUGGGAGGCUUUGAAGUGUGGACGCCAGUCUGCAUGGAGCCGACCUUGAAAUACCACCCUUUAAUGUUUGAUGUUCUAACGUGGACCCGUAAUCCGGGUUGCGGACAGUGUCUGGUGGGUAGUUUGACUGGGGCGGUCUCCUCCUAAAGAGUAACGGAGGAGCACGAAGGUUGGCUAAUCCUGGUCGGACAUCAGGAGGUUAGUGCAAUGGCAUAAGCCAGCUUGACUGCGAGCGUGACGGCGCGAGCAGGUGCGAAAGCAGGUCAUAGUGAUCCGGUGGUUCUGAAUGGAAGGGCCAUCGCUCAACGGAUAAAAGGUACUCCGGGGAUAACAGGCUGAUACCGCCCAAGAGUUCAUAUCGACGGCGGUGUUUGGCACCUCGAUGUCGGCUCAUCACAUCCUGGGGCUGAAGUAGGUCCCAAGGGUAUGGCUGUUCGCCAUUUAAAGUGGUACGCGAGCUGGGUUUAGAACGUCGUGAGACAGUUCGGUCCCUAUCUGCCGUGGGCGCUGGAGAACUGAGGGGGGCUGCUCCUAGUACGAGAGGACCGGAGUGGACGCAUCACUGGUGUUCGGGUUGUCAUGCCAAUGGCACUGCCCGGUAGCUAAAUGCGGAAGAGAUAAGUGCUGAAAGCAUCUAAGCACGAAACUUGCCCCGAGAUGAGUUCUCCCUGAGACUUA
RNAcentral lists this ribosomal RNA (1617 nucleotides) under Salmonella enterica. Its description in RNAcentral is "bacterial LSU rRNA". It matches the Rfam family "Bacterial large subunit ribosomal RNA", at positions 1223 to 2824 of the family's 2925-position model. Lineage: Bacteria; Pseudomonadati; Pseudomonadota; Gammaproteobacteria; Enterobacterales; Enterobacteriaceae. The record is from RNAcentral.